RNAcentral lists this ribosomal RNA (379 nucleotides) under uncultured eukaryote. RNAcentral's name for it is "partial 18S ribosomal RNA". It matches the Rfam family "Eukaryotic small subunit ribosomal RNA", at positions 592 to 977 of the family's 1831-position model. The record is from RNAcentral.
CAAUAGCGUAUAUUUAAGUUGUUGCAGUUAAAAAGCUCGUAGUUGGAUUUCGGGUGGGACGCAGCGGUCUCGCAUUGCGUUUGUACUGCUGCAGCCCUCCUUCUUGCCGGGGGCGGCCUCUCGGACUUCACUGUCUGGGGGUCAGAAUCGGCGAUGUUACUUUGAGUAAAUUAGAGUGUUCAAAGCAAGCUUACGCUCUGAAUAUAAUAGCAUGGGAUAACACGACAGGACUCUGGCCUAUCGUGUUGGUCUAUAGGACCAGAGUAAUGAUUAAGAGGGACAGUCGGGGGCAUUCGUAUUCCGUUGUCAGAGGUGAAAUUCUUGGAUUUACGGAAGACGAACAUCUGCGAAAGCAUUUGCCAAGGAUGUUUUCAUUGAC